GCAUUAGUAGUUUAGUGGUAAAAUAGGCGCUUGCCAUUACAUGACACAGUGUGCGCCUGCCGGGAGUUCGAUUCUCUCCUAAUGCA
Molecule: transfer RNA, 86 nt
Filed under: Tilletia controversa (dwarf bunt fungus)
Lineage: Eukaryota; Fungi; Basidiomycota; Exobasidiomycetes; Tilletiales; Tilletiaceae
Rfam family: tRNA
About the family: Transfer RNA (tRNA) molecules are approximately 80 nucleotides in length.
Source: Rfam by way of RNAcentral